Molecule: ribosomal RNA, 326 nt
Filed under: uncultured eukaryote
Lineage: Eukaryota
Description: partial 18S ribosomal RNA
Rfam family: Eukaryotic small subunit ribosomal RNA
Source: RNAcentral
CCCUUAGAUGUUCUGGGCCGCACGCGCGCUACACUGAUGCAUUCAACGAGCCUAGCCUUGACCGAGAGGUCCGGGUAAUCUUUGAAACUGCAUCGUGAUGGGGCUAGAUUAUUGCAAUUAUUAAUCUUCAACGAGGAAUGCCUAGUAAGCGUGAUUCAUCAAAUCGCGUUGAUUACGUCCCUGCCCUUUGUACACACCGCCCGUCGCUCCUACCGAUUGAAUGGUCCGGUGAAGCGUUCGGACCGUGGCCUUUGGGCGGUUCGCCGUCUGUUGGCUGCGGGAAGUUCGUUAAACCUUAUCAUUUAGAGGAAGGAGAAGUCGUANCA